RNAcentral lists this transfer RNA (71 nucleotides) under Mesoflavibacter zeaxanthinifaciens. It matches the Rfam family "tRNA". Rfam says of the family: Transfer RNA (tRNA) molecules are approximately 80 nucleotides in length. Their secondary structure includes four short double-helical elements and three loops (D, anti-codon, and T loops). The record is from RNAcentral. RNAcentral also lists the same sequence under 1 other name. Lineage: Bacteria; Pseudomonadati; Bacteroidota; Flavobacteriia; Flavobacteriales; Flavobacteriaceae.
GCGGGUAUAGAUUAGUGGUAGAUCUCCUGCUUGCCAAGCAGGGGGCAUGAGUUCGAUUCUCAUUGUCCGCA